GUUUCCUGUUGAGCACCAGGUUUUACUGGGGAAAGGAGAGAAAAAACGGCUUCAGAACUGUGGCAGCAGAAGCAGGGACACAAGCGGUCCAGACAGGAUCCAUCCCUCCAGCCACUGCAGUAAAACUGCUCUUUUAGUCACCACUCAACACAUGUUACCGGAGAUUUGAUGCUUUAAUUUGAGUGACCGGGAUUUGGUCACAAAGCUGUUUCUGAAGGAAGAAAAGCAAAGAUCUGGGAGCCUGACCACCAACUGUUUUACCUCCCAUAAGAGCUGGAAGGAGUGCUCCUGGUCUUGGAUUCUGUGGUCCCUUGAGAAUCUGAAGAGAUGGCUGCAGCAGCAGUGGCUGGACUGAUCCCUGUGCUACACUCAGUGGCUGGUGACAAGUCUAGUUACUACACUGGGCGACAGCUUGGUUUGGCUUCAUCGCUGUGUAUGGAAUGGUGGUGUAUGUGGUCCACAUGCCCUGGGUUCCCAUCCACGAAGAUUUCUGGUGCCAUGGCAACAUUACCAAUACUUGUUUGAUUGAGUGUUUUGAAAAAAGUUUUAGCUGUCCUGUAGUGGGAAUUUGGUACUUUUUUUUCUUUAUUUUCUUGACCUUCUUUUUCCUCAUGGAAUUCUUCAUGGCUCAGAUUCAGCACAAGCAGAUCAAAGCCAAGUCAGUGGAGCCAGUGGCAGGUGAAGUGGAGGAAGGCUCCUUGGUGGGAAUCCAGGAGCACAUCCCUUCCCCGAAGAAGUCCAUCCUGAGCUUCCACCAGGAGAAGAUGCUUUUGCUUUUGUAUCUCCUUUACUUCCUCCUUCAGGUUGGCGCACAGUGUGUGUUUUUAUUUUUUCUCAUGUAUCAACACCUGCCCCUGGUGAGCAAAGCCAUCAUUCACUGCAGCACCAAGAGCUGUCCUGGACUCUAUAUCUGCCUGAUCAGGGGGACCAUGGAGAAGCGAAUGUCCAUCUAUACUCUCAUGACCUUGUCCUGCAUGAUCAUCCUUUUCUGUUCAGGCUUCUUCAUGUACCGCAUCCACCAUUACCUGUUAAAAGGGCUUGCCAGUGCUAAGUUUUGGCUUGACUAAUGUUUGAAGUUCUUGUUGAGUCUUUCCUCCCUUACACUAGGAUGUUUGUGCUCCUUUAAAUAUUGUGUCUGGGGCAGAACUUCUUCCUGCUAUUUCUUUGCUUUCGUCCUUCAUAAAAUAAACAUUUGUUGUUCUUGUGUCCUCCUUCUA
Long non-coding RNA from Suricata suricatta (meerkat), 1217 nucleotides. RefSeq lists it as uncharacterized. The transcript has 2 exons. The record is from RefSeq and is a predicted model, not a curated record. Lineage: Eukaryota; Metazoa; Chordata; Mammalia; Carnivora; Herpestidae.